GCGGCGGACGGGUGAGUAACACGUGGGCAACCUGCCUAUAAGACUGGGAUAACUUCGGGAAACCGGAGCUAAUACCGGAUACGUUCUUUUCUCGCAUGAGGGAAGAUGGAAAGACGGUUUACGCUGUCACUUAUAGAUGGGCCCGCGGCGCAUUAGCUAGUUGGUGAGGUAAUGGCUCACCAAGGCGACGAUGCGUAGCCGACCUGAGAGGGUGAUCGGCCACACUGGGACUGAGACACGGCCCAGACUCCUACGGGAGGCAGCAGUAGGGAAUCUUCCGCAAUGGACGAAAGUCUGACGGAGCAACGCCGCGUGAACGAAGAAGGCCUUCGGGUCGUAAAGUUCUGUUGUUAGGGAAGAACAAGUACCAGAGUAACUGCUGGUACCUUGACGGUACCUAACCAGAAAGCCACGGCUAACUACGUGCCAGCAGCCGCGGUAAUACGUAGGUGGCAAGCGUUGUCCGGAAUUAUUGGGCGUAAAGCGCGCGCAGGUGGUUCCUUAAGUCUGAUGUGAAAGCCCACGGCUCAACCGUGGAGGGUCAUUGGAAACUGGGGAACUUGAGUGCAGAAGAGGAAAGUGGAAUUCCAAGUGUAGCGGUGAAAU
RNAcentral lists this ribosomal RNA (606 nucleotides) under Bacillus sp. I14B-01174. RNAcentral describes it as "bacterial SSU rRNA". It matches the Rfam family "Bacterial small subunit ribosomal RNA", at positions 95 to 687 of the family's 1533-position model. The record is from RNAcentral. Lineage: Bacteria; Bacillati; Bacillota; Bacilli; Caryophanales; Bacillaceae.